Long non-coding RNA from Aegilops tauschii subsp. strangulata, 1449 nucleotides. RefSeq lists it as uncharacterized. The record is from RefSeq and is a predicted model, not a curated record. NCBI's taxonomy places the organism in Eukaryota, Viridiplantae, Streptophyta, Magnoliopsida, Poales, Poaceae.
GCCGAACUCAGUCUCACACACUUGAAAAUACCUUUUUUAGAAUGUGUAAAGCUAGCUAUACAAGCAAGUACACACGCUGCUUAAUUGAUUUCCUGGCCGGCUAUAGCGGUAGAGCUGCUGAUCGAUCGUCUGACGACUUUAAAAUGUUGUGGCGACUCGUCGUACUUGCGUACAAAAAAAAUUACUAGCGAACAAAAAAACCGGUUCAGGAUUGGUGCCGAAGCUGAAUGGGGGAAGAAGGGGAAGAAGGGGAUGAGACCAAUGGCAAUGAUGGAUCGGGGAGAAGCGACUCGGGCCAGAUGGCGGGUUCAUAUUACAUGAAGGGCAAAAGUGUCCUUUUACAUGCAAUGGAAAAAUGGACGGAAGUGUUAUAAAAGGCAUAAAAUUUAGACUUAGUGUUAUAUAGGGAAGAAAAAAAUCGGUAUCAAAUAGGGAAACGAAAUUUAAUACGGUGUUAAAUAAGGAAUUCUUUCGGUUUUUUUCACCUACUAUACAUCCUUAUCCUCCCUGGACUAUUGCUCAAAAAAAUCCUCCCUUGACUAUGGCACCGCACAGUUCAUCUCACUCUCUCAGCUCGAGUACGCUCCAGUCCCCGCCGCUUCCCUUCCAUCGACAGCGUUGCCGCAUCCUCCUCUCCCCUCCACGGAGACAGUUGGCCCCUCCUCUCCCCGCCAUCUCCUCCACGCCGCGCACCUGGCGUCGCUCGCAUCCUCCACUGACCGCCACGAUGGCUCGAUUGGUUCGAUCUGGCGGUGGGUGGUGGCGAAGCUUAGCGCGACGACGGAGCCUUGCUCCGGCGCUACCAAGAAAUCUUCGCUCGCUGCCCGUCUUUCUCCGUUUGCCAACACCACCUAACAUCGCCAUGGCCGGCGGCGGCAACCACCCGGGCGCCAACAAGAGGAAUCGCGAGGAGGCGGGGAUGCCUAAGCGAGCCAAGCGAAAGAAGCCCUAUAAAGACCAUGCGGCGCGUGGCAGCGGCGGCGCCAAAGGGAAGCCGCAACCCGUCACAACCAAGGACAAUCGGGUCGCAACAAAGACCUAGAAAAGGGAGCAAUAUCACACCAUGCAGAGGAAACCAACAUUUCCUACUUGAUGCACAAUCAAUAUAUGUUCGAAACAAGGUGAUAUAAAUGUCAACACAUCUAGAUGGGGAGGGUGUCAAGGAGCAGCGCCUGCUUGUGCUUCAGAAGUGAAGACGCAUGCUUAUGCAUCGCCUCAAAGUCGGUCACAUCGAUGAGGAAUGUCAGGUCGGAGGCAUCAGCGAUGAGGAUUAGUACAUCGGGGCCAGGGACUGGCACCACGGUAACAACACACGGAUCGAUCGAGCGAUUCGAGCAAAGAUUUAGAUUAGGAAUCAUUGUAUUGUAAUAACAAACUGGAUCAAACAAUCGAGAGAUUCGAGUGAAGAUUUGGAUUAGUAAACAUGGGAGAAUUCAUCACCUUGCACUA